UGCGUCAUCAUUCCGCGCCACGUGCAAUGUGGAGGACAUCAAUCAAGUAUGGGACACCUUGGAGGUUUAUUUCUUUUUCUCGCGCCUCUAACCUGGUGUCAUAUUUGGGGUGUUUCAGGUCGCUCUCUGCCCGCCUGCCACGAGCAGCUGGAGUUCAGGUGCAGCGAUGGCUUGUGCAUCCAGAGACCGAGCGUGUGUGACGGACACACAGACUGCAAAGACGGAUCAGAUGAACACCACUGUGGUCACCUGUGGUGUAAAAAAGAUGAAUUUGCCUGCCGCAGCAGACGGUGCAUAUCUCCACGUUUCCUUUGCAAUGGCGUGGAUGACUGUGGGGACGGGAGUGACGAGGCCUUCUGCCAGAACUGCACCACCCCUGGCUUCUUUUCCUGCGAGCCGUCUGACACCUGUCUGCCCAGAGACAAGCUGUGUGAUGGGCGAACUGACUGCAAAAACCGGCAGGAUGAGUCUUGGGAGAUUUGUGGUUUGUCUCGGCUAAGCCCGCAGACGUCUCCCAAGUGUACGCCAUCUGAGUUUCAGUGUGGAGACGGGCAUUGCAUCCGCCAGAUCUGGAGGUGUGACAAUUCACCAGACUGCUCUGAUGACAGCGAUGAGGACAACUGUGAUCAGAACGAGUGUGAGGUCAAUAAUGGAGGCUGCUCUCAUCUGUGUGUGGACCAGAAGAUGGGAUUCCACUGCGACUGCCCCGGCAACAUGAGGCUGGUCGGGGACAGCUACUGUGAAGAGGUUGACACAUGCCUGGAGAGCGAUGUGUGCGAUCAGCUGUGUGUUCACAUGAACGGCAGCCUUGCCUGCGACUGCUACGAGGACUACCAGAUGAAUCCAACAACCAGAGAGUGCAAGGCCAAAGGGAAUGAGGCUCAGCUGGUUUUCACUUCUUCUAAAGGAAUGUGUUGGACAAGCAUCACUGGUAACGAUUACAGGGAACCGGCUGCACAUUUACCAGGACCAGGGCCAGUGGCAGCCUUGGCCUCUAACCGAACACUGUUCUGGGCCCGGCAAGGAAAAGGCUCUGUAUACAGGAUUUCCAUGGAUGGAAAGCUGCAUGAUUCAGUGUUGGUGCUGAAAGUUCAAGGUUCAGUGUCAGGCCUGGCUGUGGACUGGGUCCACCAUCUCCUCUACUGGACCAGUAUGGAGAGCGGUUCUGUUAACGUUGGCCUGCUAGACGGUUCAGCUCAGCGUCGGCUUAUCACCGGACUGGACAAACCUUCUGCAGUGGCUCUGGAUCCUCUCCGAGGGCUGCUCUUCUGGGCUCAGUCUGGCCGCCCCCCAAAGAUUGAGAGAGCUAGCUUGGACGGUCGGGACAGGAUGGCUCUGGUCACUUCCUUAAUACUCUACCCUGUCGCUCUCUCUCUGGAUAUGCCUCGUCAGCUGCUGUACUGGGUUGACCAGGGAAUGAGAAGCAUCUCCAGAGUAAAUCUAGACGGCCGUGACCGUAAAACAGUGGUAGAGUCGAACGGUUAUUUGGAUCAGCCUUUCGGACUAGCUGUGUUUGAGGGUUUUGUAUAUUGGAGUGAAGAAGUGACACGCUCCAUCUGCCGAGCCAACAAACACAACGGUCGCGACCACCAAGUACUGCUAUCAAACGUCACCUCACCAGGUGGUGUUGUCAUAAUCCAACCUGCUCUCCAACCAAAUGGUCCAUCUGUAUGUGGACAUACCGGGAUGCUGUGCCAUCAAGAGUGCACUGUUGACCUACUGUCUGAGAGUCCAGAGUUCAGCUGCACUCCUCCAGAAAAAGGACAAAACACAUCUCAAGAAAUUCCUGCCAUUUCUUGCACCGUUCCUGCAUCAACUUUAUCUGACCCGACGUCUGCUGGAAUCCUCUCUCUUAUCAUGUUUCUUAGUGUGCUGCUGGUGGGAAUGGCUCUGUGGUGGUGGAGAGAGGAGUUCAGACCGUCCAGGUCUCUCACUGAGCAGAGCAUCUCCCUUAAAGAGUCCCAGGACCCGCUCAUCAUCCAGGGGCCGCACAUGGCUCCAAACACAUGCCUUGUGAAGGCAAGAGAAGUUUGUGCACACACAAAAAAAAAGUAGACACACAGGCACCUUCAUUCACCUUCAGAGAGGAUAUGGCAUUCAUUCAGCUACACGAAACUCUGCUUAAGCUGGACUUGGACGAUGAAUGAAGACGGUGCAACACAGAUGGCCAGCUGCCUGUUGCUGUCUCAACCCCCGCAGUGACCUCAGGGCUGACAGACGACAACAAACCUGUCGUCUUGUCCCAACUCCGUGUGCAGAUUAAGAGAAAUGACCUGGUGGUAAAUAUCAGCGUUUAGAUGAGGAAAAGACUUUGGAACAGUAACUUCUGUUUUUGAAGAAGUGUUACUUUCAGCUCUUGUGGCUCCAGAAUUCCUCUUUGUUAACAGUGAUGAUGUUUGCUUAUAUUCUAUUGAACAAACCUACAUCGAAUUUUUUGUGCUUUGAAUGUCAGCACGGAUAUUUUGCCUUAUUUUUCAAACCCUUUAUGUGAAGCAUUUUCCUCUGCGAUUUACCAGUUAUGUUAAAACUGUAGCUCAGUGGAAAUGUGAUCCGUUUAGUUUAUAGCUGAAACAAGUAGUUCAUUAAUCGCUUAGUCGAUCGAAAGAAAAUGAAUGACUAUUUCGAUAAUUGAUUAUUGAUUAUAGAUUAUUUAAGUCAAAGCAUUGAACAUUUGCUGGUUCCAGCUUCUGCUUUUGUUUUCUCUUCUGUGACAGUAAACUAAAUAUAUAUUUGGGUUUUAGACUGUUGAUCAGACAACAACAAUCAAUUGGGAGAUUGAGAGAUUUUACAGAUCAGUUGAUUAAUAGCAAUAGUUGCAGUUCUACUGUACAUUUUUAUUUUAUUGUUGCACUUUCUCACUCAACGUUUAUUUCAUCUUAUGCAAUCAAAACUAUAGUUUUGCAAUAUUAUGGAGGGUUUUUACUUUACAACAUCAAACAGAAAUAUUAUAAAUAAUACGACUAAAAAACUGACAUCAAAAAUCAAAUCAACGGGGCGACCUUUAGCUCACCCAGUAA
This is an RNA transcript of Sander lucioperca (pikeperch), 3017 nucleotides long. It is a transcript of the gene named low-density lipoprotein receptor-related protein 8-like, with no coding region annotated. The record is from RefSeq and is a predicted model, not a curated record. NCBI's taxonomy places the organism in Eukaryota, Metazoa, Chordata, Actinopteri, Perciformes, Percidae. The transcript is spliced from 13 exons.